UGAAAAUUCACAAUCUCUUUGUUAGACUCUCUCUUUCUCUCUAACGACGGGCCGAAAUCCCUCUCUGCAACAGUGGAUUUGUAUUCGAGACGAAAACUUCCUUCAAACGCCGACGGUGAGGAGAACGGGGAAGACGACGACAUCACAGUAUUUGAAAUAGCUCCUUCAGGUUGAGAUCUGAAACGAUUUUUAUAUCCAUUUUUGGUAUUAUUUUAACAAAGCAGAUUAUUCAAAACUUAUAUAGAAAAACAAAAUUACAAUAAAGCAUUUUAGUUAAUUGAAUAUUGAAAAAGUUUGAAAGGCAUUUUUCUUUGGUCUGUGCGGAAUUAUUUUAAUUUCUGCGAAUAGUUGACGGUCUACAAUUUUUUAUUUUUUUUUCCUUGCGAGAUCUAUAAUGUUCUUUUCAGUGGCAAUAAUUUAAUGUCUUGGUCAUAUGAUGAUUGUAUAUUCUUGCAUAUUCGCGUUUUGGGGUAAAUUAUUUCUAAUAAUAUUUGAACAUUUUCUAUCAAUUACUCUGAUUCUUAUAACAAAAUUACGACACUGAAUAGUUUUGUUUUUAUAUAUCUUUUGAAGUCUAGUGAGGACUUUGGUCCAUUAACGUUGAUUUGCUUGUGCAUAUCUCUUAUGUGUCGUGAUUUAAUAGCAAAAGCAUAUCCUUUGUGCUACUUCAUGUCUUCCUCAUUGUAUUUAUGCCGAGUUGAGCAAAUUUUAGAUUUAUUUAUUGAAUUUGUAUAAAAGAAAAGUUUAUAUGAGAAAAGUAAAUUUGUGUCCAGUGUUUGAAUUGAUAUUAAGGCAGUUCUCUCCUCGUAUCAUUUGAAUAUCAUCCUUACUUGGUUUGCUCGGUGUUAAUGUAUCUCGAGUUUAAAUGAUUUAUUUUUCAUAAUCUGAACACUGAAGAAAAAUAUAAUGUAGUACUUGCAGUCAUCUACACCAAAGUUCCACUUCAAUUUAGAUUGCAAACACCCCAGUUAGAUAGAAUUUUUUUGACAUUUUGUUUAUUUACCUUUCCAUUUGGCCCUUCUUUCGCUAUAGAAACCAAAUGAUGUGAUAUCUAUUUGCAUUCACCUCAAUUAAUGUGUUGUAUGUAUAGUUAGAAUGAACUUUCAAAACUUCAAAUGUAAAGAGAAUAAAAGGUUAAUUUAAGGCACUAUGUAAUUUGCUUUUUGCACAUCUUUCAUGUGUUAUAGUUACUUUUAUUUCAACAAGCAUAUAUAGUAUGUACAUUUCAUUUUUUGGCACUUGAUUAAAUUUUUUAAUGUCUCUGUUCUUUACUCAGAUUCAAUAUUUUUGUCACUUGAUUAAUUGUUUUUAUUGGAUUAGGAUUGUUAUAUGGGUGGCCAAAACAGGGGAUUAUGUCAUUCUUGCAGGAUUGCGGGACACAUGUUGCCGGAAUGUCCAAAAAAGAUUAAAUGUCCAAACUGUGGCGAGGGCUUUGUUAGGUGGCUGGAGGUAGAAAAGAAUUCGGAUAAUAAAGGGUUGUUGUUCCAUAGUUGUACCUGCAACUGUCGGCUUUUCAAGUUUUCUAACAUUGCGCCGUAUAAAGAGUAUUCAUUGCAAGGUGAAUCAAGUGGCACUACCAACAGAAGUGAACCGGUAGACGAUUUGUCCCGUAUGUUGACGAUGUGUGCAAAAAUAACCGAGGACAGAAACUUAGAGAUUUCAUUCAACAUCACCAUACGCAAAGGGAAACGAGUUUUCGGAAGAUGUAGAAUGAAAUAUAUGUAAUUGAGUAGCUUCGAGUUAUUGUAAUUAAAAUUGCAGUGAUGGCUGUCUUUGGAGCACAUUUUCUGUGAAGUUGUCUUGAUGUAUGUAGUGAACUAUUACAAGUGUUGUCAAUCAAAUUCCAUGUUGCAG
RNAcentral lists this long non-coding RNA (1854 nucleotides) under Olea europaea subsp. europaea. The record is from RNAcentral. Lineage: Eukaryota; Viridiplantae; Streptophyta; Magnoliopsida; Lamiales; Oleaceae.